GGGUUGUGAGGUUAAGCGACUAAGCGUACACGGUGGAUGCCCUGGCAGUCAGAGGCGAUGAAGGGCGUGCUAAUCUGCGAUAAGCGCCGGUAAGGUGAUAUGAACCGUUAUAACCGGCGAUACCCGAAUGGGGAAACCCAGUGUGACUCGUCACACUAUCAUUAACUGAAUCCAUAGGUUAAUGAGGCGAACCGGGGGAACUGAAACAUCUAAGUACCCCGAGGAAAAGAAAUCAACCGAGAUUCCCCCAGUAGCGGCGAGCGAACGGGGAGGAGCCCAGAGCCUGAAUCAGCAUGUG
This 298-nucleotide ribosomal RNA is filed under the name Salmonella enterica subsp. enterica. RNAcentral describes it as "partial 23S ribosomal RNA". It matches the Rfam family "Bacterial large subunit ribosomal RNA", at positions 1 to 290 of the family's 2925-position model. Lineage: Bacteria; Pseudomonadati; Pseudomonadota; Gammaproteobacteria; Enterobacterales; Enterobacteriaceae. The record is from RNAcentral.